GAGAACGCCCUUGACCCCCUUCUGGGACAAGGAGCUGGUAUCAGGCACAAUAAUUAGCCCAAGACACCUAGCCUUGCCACACCCCCACGGGAACUCAGCAGUAAUUAAUAUUAAACAUAAGCGAUAGCUUGAUUUAGUUAAGGUAAAAAGAGCCGGCAAAUCUGGUGCCAGCCGCCGCGGCUACACCAUGUGGCUCAAGUUGAACUCUUUCGGCGUAAAGCGUGAUUAAAGUAAAUAUCAAACUAGAGUUAAACUAGAACUAAGUUGUAAUAAGCUUGUUAAUAAGAAACCCACAAACGAAAGUUACUCUAAGACCCCCAACUUGAACUCACGACCGCUAGGACACAAACUGGGAUUAGAUACCCCACUAUGCCUUGCCGUAAACUUUUAGCUACUAAUUAAUCGCCAGGGAACUACGAGCUAAGCUUAAAACCCAAAGGACUUGACGGUACCCCACAUCCCCCUAGAGGAGCCUGUCCUACAAUCGAUAAACCACGUUUAACCUCACCACUUCUAGCCUAUCAGCCUGUAUACCUCCGUCGUCAGUUUACCACGUGAGCGCCUCAAGUAAACUUAAUGAUCAUACCAUCAAUACGUCAGGUCAAGGUGCAGCACAUGAAGUGGAAAGAGAUGGGCUACACUUUCUAGCUUAGAAAACACGAAAGACUUUAUGAAAUCUAGUCAGAAGGCGGAUUUAGAAGUAAAAGUACAUCAGAAUGCU
RNAcentral lists this ribosomal RNA (721 nucleotides) under Gastrotheca prasina. Its description in RNAcentral is "partial 12S ribosomal RNA". It matches the Rfam family "Bacterial small subunit ribosomal RNA", at positions 312 to 1358 of the family's 1533-position model. The record is from RNAcentral. Lineage: Eukaryota; Metazoa; Chordata; Amphibia; Anura; Hemiphractidae.